CCCUUAGAUGUUCUGGGCCGCACACGCGCUACACUGAAGGAGGCAGCGUGUACUCCUGGAUCGAAAGAUUUGGGUAACCCGCGAAUCUCCUUCGUGCUAGGGAUUGAGGUUUGCAAUUAUCCUUCAUGAACGAGGAAUUCCCAGUAAGUGCAAGUCAUAAGCUUGCGCUGACUACGUCCCUGCCCUUUGUACACACCGCCCGUCGCUACUACCGAUUGAAUGAUUGAGUGAGGACUUCGGACUGGGACCGAUGCGGCUUUCGGGCUGCGUCGGUAUUCUGGAAAGAUGUCCAAACUGUAUCAUUUAGAGGAAGUAAAAGUCGUAACA
Molecule: ribosomal RNA, 327 nt
Filed under: uncultured eukaryote
Lineage: Eukaryota
Description: partial 18S ribosomal RNA
Rfam family: Eukaryotic small subunit ribosomal RNA
Source: RNAcentral